Mercenaria mercenaria is the source of this 8785-nucleotide long non-coding RNA. RefSeq lists it as uncharacterized. The record is from RefSeq and is a predicted model, not a curated record. Lineage: Eukaryota; Metazoa; Mollusca; Bivalvia; Venerida; Veneridae. The transcript is spliced from 8 exons.
UAAACCAGAAGGCCUAGAUCUUAGAUAUUUGAUAACAUUGCCUAGUAGACUUCUACAAACUUUAUUCAAACCAUGAUCCCCGGGUUAAAAUUGGCCCCGCCCCAGGGGUCACUUGAUUUUACAUAGGAAAAUCUUCAAAAAUUUUCUAAAAAAUAAACCAGAAGGCCUAGAGCUUAGAUAUUUCACAUGUAGCAUUGACUAGUGAACCUCUACAAAAUUAUUCAAAUCUUGACCCCCGGGAUCAAAUUGACCCCGCCCCAUGGGUUACUUGAUUGUACAUAGAAAAAUCUUCAAAAAUUUCUAAAAAUAAAUCAGAAGGCAUAGAGCUCUACAAAAUUUGUUCAAAUCAUGACCCCCAGGGUCAAAAAUGACCCCGCCCCAGGGGUCACUCGAUUUUACAUAGGAAAAUCUUCAAAAAAAUUCUAAAAAUAAACCAGAAGGCCUAGAUCUUAGAGUUUUGACAUGUAGCAUUGCCUGGUAGACUUCUACAAAAUUUAUUCAAAUCAUGGCCCCCAAGAGUCAAAUUGACCCAGCCCCUGGGGUUACUUUAUUGUACAUAGAGAAAAACUUCAUAAAUUUGCUAAAAAUAAACCAGAAGGCCUAGAUCUUAUAUAUUUGAUACGUAACAUUGCCUUGUAGACUUCUACAAAAUUUGUUCAAAUCAUGACCUCCGGGAUAAAAUUGGCCCCGCCCCAGAGGUUACUUGAUUGUACAGCGGAAAAUCUUCCAAAACAUUUCUAAAAAUCAUCAGUUUGACAUUUGAAACAUGUAGCUCAUAUUUCUCAGGUGAGCGAUCCAAGGUCAUCAUGACCCUCUUGUUCUUACACGUGGCAACACUUUGAUAUAUUUGUUUCUCUUUUUACACAUGCCUCUCUGUAUGCAACAGGGUCACCAUGGGAACGUACCGCCACAAACACAUUUAUAGACAAUGACCGACAUUCAGAUGAGCAGAUUUUAGAGCGUAUGCAGUUAGUACAUGUAUGUCUAAUUUUUCCUUUAUGUGGGUUACCAUGGAAACGUACCUCAAUAUCUAGGCAAUGGUAUAUUGGAUGAGCAAUGUUCAGAUGUACGAAGUCAUACAGCAGUUUUUACAGCAUAUAAGGUGUGUAUGUUUACUUUUUCUUUUUUUGUGCUGUAACUUUGAUGUAUGUGUUUUUCAUUUUACACAUGCGCCUCUGUAUCUAUAAACACAACAGGAUUACCAUGGAAACCAACAUCUACAUCUAGGCAAAGGUAUAAAUGGAUGACGACGUCCAAAUCUACAAACAGCAGUGAGAGAAAUCCUGCAACCGAUAACGAUCACGUGACAAACGCAUAACUUUAGUCUAAGCUUUGCUAGCCUAGGAUCCGUAAAUGAAUUUAGGCAAAACUUGAAUAUAAACAAACAUCUGGAUAAUAUGUGCGGUUAUUGAAAACUCAAUCUACCUUGCAUGUGUUUUGCUGCGUAAUUCUUGGUGUUCGGUGUUUGCUGUUUUGUCAGGGAUUUGUUUGGCUAUUUGAUGGUGUUUGUAGUGGUUUUUGGUGUUUGUUGUGGUGUUUGUGGUGGUGUUUUGGUGUUUGUUGUGUUUUUGGUGUCUUCCAUGUGGUCUUCUCGGUUGUAUUCGAUCAUGUUUGUGUUGUUUUGUUACAAUGGGCAUUUAGUGCGAAUUGUAUGUCGCAUUUGGUUCUUCAUCGUUCGUUCCGUUACAAGGUGAAUUUCUUUUUGCCAUUAGCAAUGCAUUAUAACUAGAUUUGUUCAUGUACACAAAAUUAAUCGAAUAAGUUAAAUAUUGCGUUGUGUGUGUGUGUGUUUUUGUUGUUGUUUUUUUUGUUGUUGUUUUUUUUUUAACUUUCCCAUCAGUUUUAGAUAGCUGCAGAGACAUACCAUGAAGAAUGCAGACGACAGAUAUAUGGUGCAGACGACAUCUCGGUAAGUUCUGUUUUAUUUCUGUUGUUUAUUCUUUUCGUUUUGUACUGUUGUUUUGUUUUUUUUCUACCAGAAUGUCGGAGUACUUGGAGAAUAAAGACGCAGACAGAUAUGGGGACGCAGACGGACAUGAAGAUGCAGCCCAAACAAAAUGUGCGCUUCAUUAUCGCGAUUAGGUAUGUAUAUUGCUUCUUAUACUGUCCUAUUUUGCAUGCAUUUCUCUGCAGACUUCCAAAAUGGUGGAUGAUGUUGACUAGAAGCACGUGUGAAUAUAUCUUUUGUAGAUAUCAUGUAAUGGUUCAGUGGAUGGUGAAGCUAUGGUGUUUGAUAUUGACUACAAGCUCGUACACGGAUGUCAUGUUGUAGGUUUCACAGAGGGUAAAUGGACGGUGCAGCAAUGGUGGGUUAUGUUGACACUUUCAUAUGUUUGUUUGUUUUUUUGUGUGUGUUUUUUUCACAUGCAUUUCUGUAUCUAUACUCUUUACAGGGUCACCAUGGAAAUGUACCUCUACAUCUAGGCAAUGGUACAAUGGAUGACCGGCGUUCUGAUGCACACAAAUAUAUAUAGCAGAUUUUGGAGCGUAUAGGUAAACAGUAUGAUGUGUUUCUGUUUUUGCACAUACCUUUCUGUAUUUAUACACUCAAUCUCAACAUGGUUACCAUGGAAAUGUACCUCUACAUCUAGGCAAUGGUAUUCUGGAUGACCGACGUUCAGAUGCACACAAUUAUAGCAGAUUUUUGAGCGUAUAGGGUGUGUAUGUUUACAGCUCGUUUUCGUAAACAUCAUGUUUGUAAACAUUAAAGAUUGCGUUUUGUAACCUUAACUCGGCGUUCCAUAUUUUAGCGGCUCUUGUAUAAGAAAAAUGUGAGCUCAAGCUAAAACAAAACAUAAUCAAUAAGCAGAAAGGUCAUUUUGUAAGUAGAGAAAUUUUAGUUUGAAAACGUGUAAACACGUAUGACCUAUUAAUCGAACUGUACUUUUCAUUUCUUGCUUAAACAGUAUGAUAUGUUACUGUUUUUGCAAAUACCUUUCUGUAUUUAUACAUUCAACCUCAACAGGGUUAUUAUGGAAACGUACCUAGGCAAUAGUAUAAAUGGGUGGCUGGCGUUUGGAUGUACAAAAACACACAGCAGAUUUUGGAUCAUAUAGGAAUGCUGGGGUAUGCAUACUUGAAGAAAAAAGAUGCAGACGGUCAUGGAGAUGCAGACCAAGCAAAAUGUGCGUUUCUCUUUAUGAUGAACAGACAAUGCAAUGGUUUAGUGGAUGGUGCAGCUAUGGUACAUGAUAUUGACUACAAGCACGUGAGUGGAUGUCAUGUUGUAGAUUUCACAGUGGUUAAGUGGAUGCUGCAACUUGAUCCUUUUUCUGAGGUAUGUAAUUUUUCUGACAGGUACAAUUAGAUUAUUUCGUUUGAUUGUUUUUUUUUUGCAGUUUUCAUCCCGCAAGUUACGCACAUACAUUUUCAUUUUAAUAAAUUUUCUAUAAAUUUAUAUUUUCUGGUUAUCGUGUGGGCGGACAUGAUUUUAAUUCUUUUUUUUUUAAUUUUUAACUCAUUACUGUUAAUUGUUAGAUAAUGACUACCAGUAUUCAGUUAAGCAGUGCAUAACUUUAAACCUUUAGAAAGCAAAGAACUAUUUUUCUCGUAGUAAUUCUGGAGCGUAGGUAUGUGCAUUCAACUUCUGGCUAUAGUGACAGUAAAACUCGAAGUAUCGGACAAGAAACUCAAAACUAUUCGAUGAGAAACCCAGGCUAUCAGACGAGGAACCCGAACUAUCCGACAAGAAGCAGUUUCCUGUACCAUACACGAAGAAAAAUUUAGUUGAUGGAACUGCAGUUGUCGUAGAAUUGCCUUGCUGGUACUAAAAAGAUGCCGAUAACCAGAGGGGCACUGGUAACCAAUCGAUGUCGCUCAUCAGAGGUGUUCUGGAACUCUUAUGUCAAAAUAGUAAUCAACUGUUCUCGACAAGCAGACGGCACUUGCUGCUUCUAUCAGAUGACGCCAGUGGCGGAAGAAGGGACCCCCGAUGCCUGGAGUAACUGUGCAGUAUAACAUUUUGCACUGUUUGAUUGGGCAAGAUAGAGUGGUUUUAGUGGAAUUCAGCCCUUGAUGGACAUAUCGUCUGUAUUUGCCCUGUCCUGGUGAUGGUAGAGAGCUCUUUCACAACUCGUGCGCAUAUCAGAAUCCGCGAGGUAGGCGACGAAUUUAUUCAGGUUUAAAAUGACAGGAAGACAGUGUUUUACAUUGUUGAAAGAAAAAGAAUCGAUUCCAGAACGUGCCGUCCUGUGUUUGUUGUUUUCGACAAUUGAGGGGAGAGUCCGGUGCAUGCCAGAUACUAUCUAUUGAUUUUGAACACUCUAGUGAGAAAUAUAUGCAGAUGGAAGAACCAAGUAUGAUAAAUCCAAGACAGACCUGGCACAAGCAUAUAGCAUGACACCACUACAGCCGCCAUGACAAAAGCAUAGUUAAACAAAUUAGACAUAAGCUAACAUUUAUAUAAUUAUACCCCAACGUACAAAGUAUAUUGGGCUAUGUUGGAGUCACGCAUGUCCAGUCCAUCCGUUCAUUUGUCCACCAUGGCCGCUGGGAUGAUUUUUAUAAAACUGACAUAAAUUAUAAACCACAUCAAGACGAUGUACAGAGCGCUCAACCUAGGUCACAAGGCCAAAGGUCAAGGUUACUCGUGGAGGUCAAAGGUCAAAUAGCUUAGCUUCAUGUCCGCUCUAUAUUGUCUAAACGGCUUUGAAAAUAUUUAUCUCGACUGUUUGAAGAAUAAGGAAGAUUACUGUACUUUCCUUGGCGUCUGUGUCACUGUUACUGUUGCAUUGAAAGUUAAAAUUUUAGGACAUGUGCAGGCUUCUCAGUGUCACUAUAUCUUCUUACUACUGCCCUUAUUAACAUCAAACUUCACAUAAGUGUUGGUCUUGAUAAGGGAAAUACAUCUACAUGUAUUAGUUUAGGAACAAGUAUCCUAAAUGUCGAAGUCACUGGCUUAAAUAUUGUGAUAGUGCUGGUUAAAGUUUCAUGGUAAGCUUCUCAGUUUCCCAAUAUAAUCUCACAUAAAGAUUGAUCUUAGAACGUGGCAGAAAUCUUUUUGUUUAGGGUCAGGUUGCUCAGAGGUCAAGGUUACUGGGGUCAGAUUUUAUAACAGUGUUGGUUAAAGUCUUGUGGCACAUUUCUCAAUUUGACUUAUAUCUCAUAAUGUUUCCUAGAACUGGUAUCCCUCAUGUUCUAUCCUUUUUAGCUCGACUAUACGAAGUAUAAGGAGAGCUAUCCUACUCGCCCCAGCGUCGGCGUCGGCGUCUUUCCGCGUCCCCACCUUGGUUAAAGUUUUGGUGCACUUUCUCUUUUUUCAACUUAUCUCUGUAAUUACUUGAUGGAUUUGAUUCAAACUUGAAAUACUUAUUCCUCAUCAUCAUCCACAUCAUCUGACAUAAGGGCCAUAAGUCUGGCACCAAUAUUUCAUGAAUUAUCCCCCCUUUUCACUUAGAUUUUCAGGUUAAAGUUUUGAUGCACUUUCACUCUAUCUCUGUUAUUACUGAAUGGAUUUGAUUCAAACUUAAACUAGUUGUUCAACAUCAUCACACACAUCAUAUGACACAAGGUGCAUAACUCUGGUAGCAUUUUUUCAUUAAUUAUUCCCCCUUUUUACUUAGAAUUUCAGGUUAAAGUUUUGGUGCACUUUCACUCUACCUCUGUUAUUACUGAAUGGAUUUGAUUCAAACUUAAACAAUUGUUCAACAUCAUUACCCUUAUCAUAUGACACAAGGUGCAUAACUCUGGCACAAUUUUUCAUGAAUUAUUCCCGUUUUUACUUAGAAUUUCAGGUUAAAGUUUUAUGCACUUUCACUCUAUCUCUGUUAUUACUGAAUGGAUCUGAUUCAAACUUAAACAAUUGUUCAACAUCAUUACCCUUAUCAUAUGACACAAGGUGCAAAACUCUGGCACCAAUUUUUCAUGAAUUAUUUCCCCUUUUUACUUAGAAUUUUAGGUUUUGAUGCACUUUCACUCUGUCUCUGUUAUUACUGAAUGGAUUUGAUUCAAACUUAAAAUAGUUGUUCAACAUUAUCACCCACACCAUAUGACACAAGGUGCAUAACUCUGGCACCAAUUUUUAAUUAAUUAUUCCCCCUUUUUACUUAGAAUUUUAGGUUAAAGUUUUGAUGCACUUUCACUCUGGCACCAAUGUUUAAUGAAUUAUGCCCCUUUUGCUUAGGAUAUACUUAUAUAGUGUUUUGAUACAUUUUAUCUUUACCUCUCUUAUUACUUCAAGUUGAUAUUUUUGACAUAGACCCAGGCUAUUGUGCAAUAUCUUCAUCCACAAUUGGAGUCAUUAAACCCUCCAGUGCAGCUCUAGUUUCCUCAGAUGUGCCCAGUUUCACUAUCCAGCAUCGAAAUAGUCGAGCGCGCUGUCUCCUGUGACAGCUUUUGUUAGCUAUACCCACACUUCAUCUACGUUCCUCCAGACACCCACCCAAAAAUGCGUUCCAUACAAAAACUUAUAUUUCAUGUUUCCAUCAACUCCCCUACUCCGCUGUCUUCACCUGCCUCCUCCACCCCAUUUCACCGAACCUUUACCCUCGCCCCUAACCGCCGCCCCCUCCAUAAAAAGGAUAAAAACUCCUUUUCGAUCUCCCACACUUAUUAUAAUAAUAACAAUAUCUUGUUAAACAUUUUCUUCAUAGUCGAGCAGACACAAUUAACUCAGAUCACUAGGUCCAAGGUCAAGGUCACACCUAAAAAUCAAAAGUCAUGAUGACAACAUUUUACUUUCCCUUUAUCAAAGUGAGGUCUGGGGGUAUCAAUCGAAUUCAGUGGUAGCCUUAGUUGAUCAGGUGUUAGUGACAUAAAUGUGCAUUAUUUGCUUUAUUGUGGGGAGGGGGGUGGGUAUAGGAAUGGUCUCCGUCCGUCUGUCCGUCCGUCUGCUCGUCCGUAACACUUCCGUGUCUGGUCCAUAUGUCCUAAACCCCUUGAAGGAUUUUCAUGAAACUUGGUCAAAUGAUCACAUCAAGACGAUGUGCAAAACUUAUGACUUUGCCAUGUCGGCUCAAGGUCAAGGUCACAACUCAAGGUCAAAGGUUUUAGCCUUCCAUUUCGUGUCCGCUCUGUAUCUCCUAAACUCUUGAAGGAAUUUUAUAAAACUCGGGUCAAAUGAUCACCUCAUCAAGAGGAUGCCGGCUCAAGGUCAAGGUCACAACAAGGGUUAAAGGUUUGAGCCUUCCAUUUUGCGUCCGCUUUGUAUCUCCUAAACCCCUUGAAAGAUUUUCAUGAAACUUGGGUCAAAUUAUCACUUCAUCAAGACGAUGUGUAGAACUCUUGAAUCAGCCAUGUUGGCUCAAGGUCAAGGCUGCAACUUGGGAUCAAAGGUUUGAGCCUUUCAUUGUGUUUCCGCUCUGUAUCUCCUAAACCCCUUGAAGGAUUUUCAUGAAACCUGGGUCAAAUGAUCACCUCAUCAAGUUGAUGUGCAGACCCUAUGAGUUAGCCAUGCCGGCUCAAGGUCAAGUUCGUAAAGGUUUGAGUCUUCCAUUUUGUGUCCGCUCUGUAUCUCCUAAACCCUUGAAGGAUUUUCAUUAAACAUGGGCCAAAUGAUUACCACAUCAAGAACUCAUGAUUUAGCUAUGUGAACUCAAGGUCAAGGUCACAACUCAAGGUCAAAGGUUUGAGCUCUGUAUCUCCUAAACCCCUUGAAAGAUUUUCAUGAAACUUUGGUCAAAUGAUCAACUCAUCAAGAUGAUGUGCAGAAUUCAUAAGUCAGUCAUGUCAGUACAAGGUUAAGGUCACAGUUCAAGGUCAAAUGUUCAAGUUACCCUUUCACUUUCCAUAACAGUGGCGGGGUUUUUAGCUGUCUUUCAGGCUGCCAUGUAAUAAUUGAUUUUAGGACAUGAGAUAUUUGUUUGUUUCAGUGUAAGAUCGAUCAAAUCAUUCUAUAUACAUCUUGCGAAAAUGUAAACUCUAGUGUUCAGGCGUGAAAAAUAAUCGAUUUUACUAUAAAUCAAAGAAAUAUUAUAUUAUGUAGUUAAAUGUAUCUGUACUAUAAAUCAAAGAAAAUUUAUAUUAUGCAAUUAAAUAUAUGUGUACUAUAAAUCAAAGAAAUUUUAUAUUAUGCAAUUAAAUAUAUGUGUACUAUAAAUCAAAGAAAUUUUAUAUUAUGCAAUUAAUUAUAUGUGUACUAAAUUGUACACAUUUUACAAGUAUAACAUUUCACCAAACGUGCAACGAUACGCCUAAAAUUAUGGCAAUAUAUAUGUUGGAAAAAGUUAUAUAGUUCUACUAGAUUGAUUUCUUUUACAUUUUAAUAUAAUUAUUUUUUAAUAUUUUUUCUUCUAUAAAAACAAUCAGAUUUUAUAUAAUUCAUAUUCUUUCGCGUUAAAUUGAUGUUGCGUGCAAGUGAAAACUGUAUUUGGAUUUCUUACUUCUGAAACAGUGGGUUUAUCAGGGUAUAAUCUAUCGUUAUAUUUCAACAAUAUCUGAAAACUUGGCAAGAAAUUCAAUAAAACUACAAAAUGUAGCGAUAAAAUCAUAGCUCUUUUAUUUAUUCAAACACACUUUCUACUGCACUUUGUUUGGUUGGUAUUAAUGUAGCUUUUAAAAGUAAUUUUAGCCUCAUUUCUUGUUCACUGAAUUUUACACUGUUUGGUAUAACUCUUAAUCGACGCCUAACUUUAUGCACUAACAUUAACUCUUGCGGCUAAAAUGACUUUUAAAGCAACUCUGUCUAUUAUCAGUAACAAUGUAUUAAACAGGUAAAUCUUUAGGAACGAUGUGUAGAAAGAUUAGCUGAUCAAAUAUUUAGUAGAAUUGUUGGCAAACUUUUAGGUUUUUAGUCCUCGCUUUAAAUAAUUACUGGAAUAUAAUGUUAGAUUAUAACAUGAUAAACUCA